GAUGAACGCUGGCGGCGUGCCUAAUACAUGCAAGUCGAGCGAAUGGAUUAAGAGCUUGCUCUUAUGAAGUUAGCGGCGGACGGGUGAGUAACACGUGGGUAACCUGCCCAUAAGACUGGGAUAACUCCGGGAAACCGGGGCUAAUACCGGAUAACAUUUUGAACCGCAUGGUUCGAAAUUGAAAGGCGGCUUCGGCUGUCACUUAUGGAUGGACCCGCGUCGCAUUAGCUAGUUGGUGAGGUAACGGCUCACCAAGGCAACGAUGCGUAGCCGACCUGAGAGGGUGAUCGGCCACACGUGGACUGAGACACGGCCCAGACUCCUACGGGAGGCAACAGUAGGGAAUCUUCCGCAAUGGACGAAAGUCUGACGGAGCAACGCCGCGUGAGUGAUGAAGGCUUUCGGGUCGUAAAACUCUGUUGUUAGGGAAGAACAAGUGCUAGUUGAAUAAGCUGGCACCUUGACGGUACCUAACCAGAAAGCCACGGCUAACUACGUGCCAGCCGCCGCGGUAA
Molecule: ribosomal RNA, 515 nt
Filed under: uncultured bacterium
Lineage: Bacteria
Description: partial 16S ribosomal RNA
Rfam family: Bacterial small subunit ribosomal RNA
Source: RNAcentral